RNAcentral lists this long non-coding RNA (864 nucleotides) under Vulpes vulpes (red fox). RNAcentral's name for it is "lncRNA (ENSVVUG00000015349.1)". Lineage: Eukaryota; Metazoa; Chordata; Mammalia; Carnivora; Canidae. The record is from RNAcentral.
CUGGAAUCUAAAAAAUAAAAGAAAAAGAAAACAAAUGAAAAACAGAAAGACCCAUAAAUACAGAAAACAGACUGCUGGUUGCCAGGGGGAGGAGGUGGGGAGAUGGAUAAAGUGAGUGAAAGGCAGUAGGAGUUACAAGUUUCCACUUAUGGAAUGAAGAAAUCAUGGGAAUAAAAGGUACAGUUUAAGGAAUAUAGUCAGUGGUAGUAUAACAGCAUUGUAUGGUGACAGAUGGUAGCUACGCUUGUAUGGUGAGGAUAGCAUAACGUAGAGAGUCGUCCAAUCACUAUGUUGUACACCUGAAAACUAAUGUCACACUAUGUCAAUUCUUAGAAAGAGAAGAAAAAAAGAAAGAAAGAAAGAAAGAAAGAGAAAGAAAGAGAAAGAAAGAAAGAAAGAAAGAAAGGAAGAAAGAAAGAAAGGAGAAAGAAAGGCAAAGAAAAAGGAAGAAAGAAAAUCUGACAGAGAGUUUGGAGGUAAAACGACAGGCCCUAAGAAGCCACGAAGUUCAACUUUCUCAUUUCAUAACUGGGAAAACCGAGGCUCGAGGCAUUUCUUGGUUUGCUGGAGGUCAAACAAGACAUUAGCUAGCAGCAGUUGUGUAAGUGCUACUCAGAUCUCUGGACUACUGGCGCCAUUGAACUAAAGGAAGACUAAGAAUAGAACUGGACACACAACAGGACUGGGCUCUGGAGUCUGGCACCUAUAGAGUGAGCAUAAGACUGGUUUCUACUUCACAGCACAAUGUCCAGCAUGCUGGCUGUUAUCAUCAUCAUCAAGACAUGAGAGUUAAAUUCUACUGAACCUAAUAAUAUGAAGACAGGUGUGAGCAUUGUUCCCCUGUGAAUUUUCUACUGCAUCUGA